CUUCUCUUCACACCACUCGUUCUCCUUGCGAACCUGAAACAGAACAGGGCAGACCUUAGACAACCAGCAUGACUAAGAUUAAGGCAUGGAUGUAAAUAUACAUUUACCAAAGAACAUGGCACUCAAAGCUAUGGAUGUUGCCGAAACCCAAAUUACGUCCAAACAGCACUUUUGAGGACCUCAAGACACUAUCCACUCUGCAAGUAGCAGCGAGUAGGAAAGCAGUAUCGAAAAAAUGGUGGCGCAAAUCAGCGAAAUGCAAAAUGCAAGAGAAAUGUUAUUCAAAUAGCAGUGUUUGGGGACUAAGGUUGAUCUUGCUCCCUCCCCAGAACACUUCAGAGAUCGAAUGUGCACAUACUGCAGCAUGGGAUUAGUGAAUAAAGGUCCAUGCAGUGCUCAAUAAGCUGCA
This is a long non-coding RNA of Dermacentor andersoni, 409 nucleotides long. RefSeq lists it as uncharacterized. Lineage: Eukaryota; Metazoa; Arthropoda; Arachnida; Ixodida; Ixodidae. The record is from RefSeq and is a predicted model, not a curated record.